AUUGAACGCUGGCGGAAUGCUUUACACAUGCAAGUCGAGCGGCAGCGCGGGGCAACCUGGCGGCGAGCGGCGAACGGGUGAGUAAUACAUCGGAACGUACCCAGUUGUGGGGGAUAGCCCGGCGAAAGCCGGAUUAAUACCGCAUACGACCUGAGGGUGAAAGCGGGGGAUCGCAAGACCUCGCGCAAUUGGAGCGGCCGAUGGCGGAUUAGCUAGUUGGUAGGGUAAAGGCCUACCAAGGCGACGAUCCGUAGCGGGUCUGAGAGGACGGCCCGCCACACUGGAACUGAGACACGGUCCAGACUCCUACGGGAGGCAGCAGUGGGGAAUUUUGGACAAUGGGGGAAACCCUGAUCCAGCCAUUCCGCGUGAGUGAAGAAGGCCUUCGGGUUGUAAAGCUCUUUCGGCAGGAACGAAACGGUGGGUCCUAAUACGAUCUGCUAAUGACGGUACCUGAAGAAGAAGCACCGGCUAACUACGUGCCAGCAGCCGCGGUAA
This 498-nucleotide ribosomal RNA is filed under the name uncultured bacterium. RNAcentral describes it as "partial 16S ribosomal RNA". It matches the Rfam family "Bacterial small subunit ribosomal RNA", at positions 29 to 523 of the family's 1533-position model. The record is from RNAcentral.